CCUACGGGAGGCAGCAGUGAGGAAUUUCGUGCAAUGGGGGAAACCGGGAAAUAGUGACCACGGGGGGAUGACGAAAUCUUUCCAUUCGUAAAAUCCUGUCAGAGCGGAAGAAUUGUAAAACUCUUUAUCCAGAUUAGAUAGACGGUACCAUCAAAGGAAGCCCCGGUAACUUCGUCCAGCAGCCGCCUAAUUGGAGGUCAAGCGUUUUUGAAAAUUGGGGUAAAAGCUGUAGGGGGAGUUAAGUCAGAUGGAAAGUCCCAGCUUACCCGGGAUGCAUUUGAUAAAGGCAGAGUUGAGUAUUGGAGAGAGGGGAGGAAUUUUCCGUGUAGAGGGGAAAAUUUUAGAUAUCUGGAGGAAUACCGCUGGCGAAGGCGACCCCCUGGCCAGAUAUUGACGCUGAGGUGUGAAAGAGUGGGGAGCGCACACGAUUAGAUACCCUGGUAGUGUCAC
Molecule: ribosomal RNA, 450 nt
Filed under: uncultured bacterium
Lineage: Bacteria
Description: bacterial SSU rRNA
Rfam family: Bacterial small subunit ribosomal RNA
Source: RNAcentral